This is a long non-coding RNA of Dermochelys coriacea (leatherback sea turtle), 601 nucleotides long. RefSeq lists it as uncharacterized. Lineage: Eukaryota; Metazoa; Chordata; Testudines; Dermochelyidae. The transcript has 3 exons. The record is from RefSeq and is a predicted model, not a curated record.
CUCCCAGGCCUCCCCACCCCGUCCUGCUCCCCCCAAACUCCUUCCGGGUGUUCUUUACCCGGACGCCAGCCCUGCAGCCAGGCAAAGACGUGGGGUCAGGUGUGGGCCGGGCCAGCGCGGAAGGCAGUGAACAUCAGAUAUCUGUCGUGCCAGUGAGCACUGGAGGUGCGGCCAAUUGCAACAAUUGGGGCCAGAUGUUUGGGGAAGCGGGGGGAGGCAGAGGGAGGAAUAUAGGGGCCUGGACAGCUGGAGCCAGGGCGUCUGGCCCCAGAUGCAGGCCCCACAAAUCCCACUGCUACCACCGAUGGGGCAUUGUCAGCUGCAGCGAGGGGGCUCAAAGCAGGGGACGGUGCCGCAGCUCCCCAUUCUUAAAAGUGCAUUUGCCCGCGGGCCGUGGCUCCCUCAUUGACAGUCCCGUGUCAUCGGGAGCCGGCAGGGACAGGUGGGAAAUUCAGCUGCUUGCCUGGUAUUUUUUGUUGUUGUUGUUGGGGUGGGUUACACAAAAAUGGCAGUGCACCAGCUGGGGCCGGUUUCGGGGCUGGAGGCUGCAGCAAUGGGUAGCUUAUCAGACCAAGAGUGAGACUUGACAAAAAGAAAUAGA